This 460-nucleotide ribosomal RNA is filed under the name uncultured bacterium. RNAcentral's name for it is "partial 16S ribosomal RNA". It matches the Rfam family "Bacterial small subunit ribosomal RNA", at positions 338 to 795 of the family's 1533-position model. The record is from RNAcentral.
CCUACGGGAGGCAGCAGUGAGGAAUAUUGGUCAAUGGGCUUACGCCUGAACCAGCCAAGUCGCGUGAGGGAAGACUGCCCUAUGGGUUGUAAACCUCUUUUGUCAGGGAGCAACGCCGGCUACGUGUAGCCGGACUGAGAGUACCUGAAGAAAAAGCAUCGGCUAACUCCGUGCCAGCAGCCGCGGUAAUACGGAGGAUGCGAGCGUUAUCCAGAUUUAUGGGGUUUAAAGGGUGCGUAGGCGGAAUGCCAAGUCAGCGGUAAAAUCGCGGGGCUCAACCUCGCUCCGCCGUUGAAACUGGCGUUCUUGAGUGGGCGAGAAGUAUGCGGAAUGCGUGGUGUAGCGGUGAAAUGCAUAGAUAUCACGCAGAACUCCGAUUGCGAAGGCAGCAUACCGGCGCCCAACUGACGCUGAAGCACGAAAGCGUGGGUAUCGAACAGGAUUAGAUACCCUAGUAGUC